UUUCUCUAGUUAUAUUACCUUUUACCUGGGUUGGUGAUAACUAGAACACACCAGGCUUGAAGAAAAAGCAUGCUCCAGAGGAAGCUGAGGCAUCCCUGCUUAAGAGCCAGUGGUUACAUUUUUCCUCUGCUAGGUCCUGGAUACUGUCUCCAUGGUGAUAACAGCUGUGCCAUGUCAUUAUCAAUCCACCAACAGAAAGAGAAGCUUUUAAGCCAAGAUAAUGUUUAGCAGACAGCAGGGUUUCUGCUGGACACUAAGUACUGCUACAAAA
Non-coding RNA from Rattus norvegicus (Norway rat), 271 nucleotides. NCBI's taxonomy places the organism in Eukaryota, Metazoa, Chordata, Mammalia, Rodentia, Muridae. The record is from Ensembl.